This is a non-coding RNA of Gossypium raimondii (Peruvian cotton), 107 nucleotides long. The record is from Rfam. NCBI's taxonomy places the organism in Eukaryota, Viridiplantae, Streptophyta, Magnoliopsida, Malvales, Malvaceae.
AUUCCAUGAUGAGGGCACUUUCGUAAUAUUUCUUUGUACCUUUCACAUGCCUCAUACAAGGACUCAUCAUCCAUUUGAUGGAAAGUAGUGAUCUCAUUCCUCAACUU